RNAcentral lists this ribosomal RNA (128 nucleotides) under uncultured eukaryote. RNAcentral describes it as "partial small subunit ribosomal RNA". It matches the Rfam family "Eukaryotic small subunit ribosomal RNA", at positions 1651 to 1801 of the family's 1831-position model. The record is from RNAcentral.
CCCUGCCUUUUGUACACACCGCCCGUCGUUGUUUCCGAUGAUGGUGGAAUGCAGGUGAUCGGACUGGCCUCGGCCGGAAAGACCACCGACAUUUCUUCAAUAGAGGAAGCAAAAGUCGUAACAAGGUA